GUCCACGCCCUAAACGAUGUCUACUAGUUGUUGGGAGAGUAAAAUCUCUUAGUAACGCAGCUAACGCGUGAAGUAGACCGCCUGGGGAGUACGGUCGCAAGAUUAAAACUCAAAGGAAUUGACGGGGGCCCGCACAAGCGGUGGAUUAUGUGGAUUAAUUCGAUGCAACGCGAAAACCUUACCUGGCCUUGACAUGUACCGAAUUUAGCAGAGAUGCUUUAGUGCUCGAAAGAGAACGGUAACACAGGUGCUGCAUGGCUGUCGU
RNAcentral lists this ribosomal RNA (265 nucleotides) under uncultured bacterium. Its description in RNAcentral is "partial 16S ribosomal RNA". It matches the Rfam family "Bacterial small subunit ribosomal RNA", at positions 793 to 1055 of the family's 1533-position model. The record is from RNAcentral.